GGAGAGAACCCUUAGAGAGGCUC
Molecule: small nuclear RNA, 23 nt
Filed under: Arabidopsis thaliana (thale cress)
Lineage: Eukaryota; Viridiplantae; Streptophyta; Magnoliopsida; Brassicales; Brassicaceae
Description: snRNA_00665
Source: RNAcentral